GUGGGGAAUAUUGGACAAUGGGGGGAACCCUGAUCCAGCCAUGCCGCGUGUGUGAAGAAGGCCUUAUGGUUGUAAAGCACUUUAAGCGAGGAGGAGGCUACCGAGAUUAAUACUCUUGGAUAGUGGACGUUACUCGCAGAAUAAGCACCGGCUAACUCUGUGCCAGCAGCCGCGGUAAUACAGAGGGUGCAAGCGUUAAUCGGAUUUACUGGGCGUAAAGCGCGCGUAGGUGGCCAAUUAAGUCAAAUGUGAAAUCCCCGAGCUUAACUUGGGAAUUGCAUUCGAUACUGGUUGGCUAGAGUAUGGGAGAGGAUGGUAGAAUUCCAGGUGUAGCGGUGAAAUGCGUAGAGAUCUGGAGGAAUACCGAUGGCGAAGGCAGCCAUCUGGCCUAAUACUGACACUGAGGUGCGAAAGCAUGGGGAGCAAACAGGAUUAGAAACCCCGGUAGUCC
RNAcentral lists this ribosomal RNA (451 nucleotides) under uncultured bacterium. RNAcentral's name for it is "partial 16S ribosomal RNA". It matches the Rfam family "Bacterial small subunit ribosomal RNA", at positions 354 to 796 of the family's 1533-position model. The record is from RNAcentral.